Molecule: ribosomal RNA, 157 nt
Filed under: Epichloe clarkii
Lineage: Eukaryota; Fungi; Ascomycota; Sordariomycetes; Hypocreales; Clavicipitaceae
Description: 5.8S ribosomal RNA
Rfam family: 5.8S ribosomal RNA
About the family: 5.8S ribosomal RNA (5.8S rRNA) is a component of the large subunit of the eukaryotic ribosome. It is transcribed by RNA polymerase I as part of the 45S precursor that also contains 18S and 28S rRNA.
Source: RNAcentral
AAACUUUUAACAACGGAUCUCUUAGUUCUAGCAUCGAUGAAGAACGCAGCGAAAUGCGAUAAGUAAUGUGAAUUGCAGAAUUCAGUGAAUCAUCGAAUCUUUGAACGCACAUUGCGCCCGCCAGUAUUCUGGCGGGCAUGCCUGUUCGAGCGUCAUU